ACUACGAUAGUGAUUUUAUAGAUGCGAAUGUGAAGAAAGUUGGUGAUAGUACUAACUCUAAAAAUUACUUUUGAGGCAAAGACAUAUGUGUACAAACACAUAGGCCUAUCUAAUCAAUUCUUGAAAAAUAUGGUAGAAGAAAAAAUGCCUCAAUUUGAUUAUUCUGAUUCAGAUCGUGAUGGUGAUUGUAACACCUUAAACUAGCA
RNAcentral lists this long non-coding RNA (206 nucleotides) under Elaeis guineensis (African oil palm). RNAcentral's name for it is "long non-coding RNA (EGUI_LNC017426)". The record is from RNAcentral. Lineage: Eukaryota; Viridiplantae; Streptophyta; Magnoliopsida; Arecales; Arecaceae.